AUUGAACGCUGGCGGCGUGCCUAACACAUGCAAGUCGAGCGGCAGCGCGGGGAGCAAUCCUGGCGGCGAGCGGCGGACGGGUGAGUAAUGCUUGGGAAUCUGCCUGUUAGUGGGGGACAACCCGGGGAACUCGGGCUAAUACCGCAUACGCACUACGGUGGAAAGCCGGGGACCGCAAGGCCUGGCGCUAACAGAUGAGCCCAAGUCGGAUUAGCUAGUUGGUAGGGUAACGGCCACCAAGGCGACGAUCCGUAACUGGUCUGAGAGGACGACCAGUCACACCGGAACUGAGACACGGUCCGGACUCCUACGGGAGGCAGCAGUGGGGAAUAUUGGACAAUGGGGGAAACCCUGAUCCAGCGACGCCGCGUGGGUGAAGAAGGCCUGCGGGUUGUAAAG
RNAcentral lists this ribosomal RNA (399 nucleotides) under uncultured bacterium. RNAcentral's name for it is "bacterial SSU rRNA". It matches the Rfam family "Bacterial small subunit ribosomal RNA", at positions 29 to 430 of the family's 1533-position model. The record is from RNAcentral.